Molecule: transfer RNA, 74 nt
Filed under: Candidatus Auribacterota bacterium
Lineage: Bacteria; Pseudomonadati; Candidatus Auribacterota
Description: tRNA-Thr
Rfam family: tRNA
About the family: Transfer RNA (tRNA) molecules are approximately 80 nucleotides in length.
Source: RNAcentral
GCCCGUGUAGCUCAGUAGGUAGAGCAUUCGCAUGGUAAGCGAAAGGUUCGGCGGUUCAAUUCCGCUCGCGGGCU